AGGACGAACGCUGGCGGCGUGCUUAACACAUGCAAGUCGAACGGAAAGGCCCUGCUUUUGUGGGGUGCUCGAGUGGCGAACGGGUGAGUAACACGUGAGUAACCUGCCCUUAACUUUGGGAUAACUUCAGGAAACUGGGGCUAAUACCGGAUAGGAGCUCCUGCUGCAUGGUGGGGGUUGGAAAGUUUCGGCGGUUGGGGGAUGGACUCGCGGCUUAUCAGCUUGUUGGUGGGGUAGUGGCUUACCAAGGCUUUGACGGGUAGCCGGCCUGAGAGGGUGACCGGCCACGAUUGGGACUGAGAUACGGCCCAGACUCCUACGGGAGGCAGCAGUGGGGAAUAGUUGCACAAUGGGCGGAAGCCUGAUGCAGCAACGCCGCGUGCGGGAUGACGGCCUUCGGGUGUAACCGCUUUCGCCUGUGACGAAGCGUGAGUGACGGUAAUAGGGUAAAGAAGCACCGGACUAACUACGUGCCAGCAGCCGAC
This 485-nucleotide ribosomal RNA is filed under the name uncultured soil bacterium. RNAcentral's name for it is "bacterial SSU rRNA". It matches the Rfam family "Bacterial small subunit ribosomal RNA", at positions 26 to 518 of the family's 1533-position model. The record is from RNAcentral.